RNAcentral lists this non-coding RNA (28 nucleotides) under Homo sapiens (human). Lineage: Eukaryota; Metazoa; Chordata; Mammalia; Primates; Hominidae. The record is from RNAcentral.
UGUUGGAGUCAGCAAAUGCGUUUUGAGG